RNAcentral lists this ribosomal RNA (495 nucleotides) under uncultured bacterium. Its description in RNAcentral is "partial 16S ribosomal RNA". It matches the Rfam family "Bacterial small subunit ribosomal RNA", at positions 29 to 507 of the family's 1533-position model. The record is from RNAcentral.
AUGAACGCUGGCGGCGUGCCUAAUACAUGCAAGUCGAGCGAACAGACGAGGAGCUUGCUCCUCUGACGUUAGCGGCGGACGGGUGAGUAACACGUGGAUAACCUACCUAUAAGACUGGGAUAACUUCGGGAAACCGGAGCUAAUACCGGAUAAUAUAUUGAACCGCAUGGUUCAAUAGUGAAAGACGGUUUGCUGUCACUUAUAGAUGGAUCCGCGCCGCAUUAGCUAGUUGGUAAGGUAACGGCUUACCAAGGCAACGAUGCGUAGCCGACCUGAGAGGGUGAUCGGCCACACUGGAACUGAGACACGGUCCAGACUCCUACGGGAGGCAGCAGUAGGGAAUCUUCCGCAAUGGGCGAAAGCCUGACGGAGCAACGCCGCGUGAGUGAUGAAGGUCUUCGGAUCGUAAAACUCUGUUAUUAGGGAAGAACAAAUGUGUAAGUAACUAUGCACGUCUUGACGGUACCUAAUCAGAAAGCCACGGCUAACUACGUG